UCCCUGGUAGUAUAUCGGUUAGUACACGCGCCUGUCAUAAUAUGGGAUAUGAAUUCUGCGCGCGAAAGCUGGGUUCGACUCCCAGCCAGGGAG
This is a non-coding RNA of Paramarasmius palmivorus, 93 nucleotides long. The record is from the annotation of a GenBank genome assembly. NCBI's taxonomy places the organism in Eukaryota, Fungi, Basidiomycota, Agaricomycetes, Agaricales, Marasmiaceae.